AGUGAACGCUGGCGGCGUGCUUAACACAUGCAAGUCGAACGAGAACGGGUUAUAGCUUGCUAUAAUUGUCAGCUAAGUGGCGCACGGGUGAGUAAUGUAUAGGUAAUAUGCCUCUUACUAAGGGAUAACAAAUGGAAACGUUUGCUAAUACCUUAUACUCCUUAUUAACAGAAGUUAAUAAGGGAAAGAUUUAUUGGUAAGGGAUUAGCCUGUAUUGUAUCAGUUAGUUGGUGGGGUAAUGGCUUACCAAGACUAUGACACAUAACUGGUUUGAGAGGAUGAUCAGUCACACUGGAACUGAGACAGGGUCCAGACUCCUACGGGAGGCAGCAGUGGGGAAUAUUGCACAAUGGACGAAAGUCUGAUGCAGCAACGCCGCGUGGAGGAUGACACAUUUCGGUGCGUAAACUCCUUUUAUAUGAGAAGAUAAUGACGGUAUUAUAUGAAUAAGCACCGGCUAACUCCGUGCCAGCAGCCGCCGUAA
Molecule: ribosomal RNA, 484 nt
Filed under: uncultured bacterium
Lineage: Bacteria
Description: partial 16S ribosomal RNA
Rfam family: Bacterial small subunit ribosomal RNA
Source: RNAcentral